RNAcentral lists this ribosomal RNA (253 nucleotides) under uncultured bacterium. RNAcentral describes it as "partial 16S ribosomal RNA". It matches the Rfam family "Bacterial small subunit ribosomal RNA", at positions 524 to 776 of the family's 1533-position model. The record is from RNAcentral.
UACAGAGGGUGCAAGCGUUAAUCGGAAUUACUGGGCGUAAAGCGUGCGUAGACGGUUAUGUAAGUUAGGUGUGAAAUCCCCGGGCUCAACCUGGGAACUGCAUUUGUGACUGCACGGCUGGAGUGCGGCAGAGGGGGAUGGAAUUCCGCGUGUAGCAGUGAAAUGCGUAGAUAUGCGGAGGAACACCGAUGGCGAAGGCAAUCCCCUGGGCCUGCACUGACGCUCAUGCACGAAAGCGUGGGGAGCAAACAGG